AGCUUUGCACAGUGGCAGUUUUAUAGGCAAUGAGGUUUAUCCAAGGUGUGAUUAUUGCUAAUUGAACGCUUUUCCCAAUACCCCACUGUGAUGACUUGAAAUAUACCAAUGUCAAUUUCUGACACUCUCUAUGGAGA
Molecule: small nuclear RNA, 137 nt
Organism: Budorcas taxicolor (takin)
Lineage: Eukaryota; Metazoa; Chordata; Mammalia; Artiodactyla; Bovidae
Product: U4 spliceosomal RNA
Exons: 1
Source: RefSeq, a predicted model, not a curated record